Molecule: ribosomal RNA, 592 nt
Filed under: Rhodotorula glutinis
Lineage: Eukaryota; Fungi; Basidiomycota; Microbotryomycetes; Sporidiobolales; Sporidiobolaceae
Description: eukaryotic LSU rRNA
Rfam family: Eukaryotic large subunit ribosomal RNA
Source: RNAcentral
AAGAGGGGUUUUCCCUAGUAGCGGCGAGCGAAGCGGGAAGAGCUCAAAUUUAUAAUCUGGCACCUUCGGUGUCCGAGUUGUAAUCUCUAGAAGUGUUUUCCGCGUUGGACCGCACACAAGUCUGUUGGAAUACAGCGGCAUAGUGGUGAAACCCCCGUAUAUGGUGCGGACGCCCAGCGCUUUGUGAUACACUUUCAAUGAGUCGAGUUGUUUGGGAAUGCAGCUCAAAUUGGGUGGUAAAUUCCAUCUAAAGCUAAAUAUUGGCGAGAGACCGAUAGCGAACAAGUACCGUGAGGGAAAGAUGAAAAGCACUUUGGAAAGAGAGUUAACAGUACGUGAAAUUGUUGGAAGGGAAACGCUUGAAGUCAGACUUGCUUGCCGGAGCUUGCUUCGGUUUGCAGGCCAGCAUCAGUUUUCCGGGGUGGAUAAUAACGGUUUGAAGGUAGCAGUCUCGGCUGUGUUAUAGCUUUCCGUUGGAUACAUCCUGGGGGACUGAGGAACGCAGCGUGCUUUUUGCGAAAGACUCGUCUUUUUCACGCUUAGGAUGCUGGUGGAAUGGCUUUAAACGACCCGUCUUGAAACACGGACCAAA